CACUCCUACGGGAGGCAGCAGUGGGGAAUUUUGGACAAUGGGCGAAAGCCUGAUCCAGCCAUGCCGCGUGCAGGAUGAAGGCCUUCGGGUUGUAAACUGCUUUUGUACGGAACGAAACGGCCUUUUCUAAUAAAGAGGGCUAAUGACGGUACCGUAAGAAUAAGCACCGGCUAACUACGUGCCAGCAGCCGCGGUAAUACGUAGGGUGCAAGCGUUAAUCGGAAUUACUGGGCGUAAAGCGUGCGCAGGCGGUUAUGUAAGACAGUUGUGAAAUCCCCGGGCUCAACCUGGGAACUGCAUCUGUGACUGCAUAGCUAGAGUACGGUAGAGGGGGAUGGAAUUCCGCGUGUAGCAGUGAAAUGCGUAGAUAUGCGGAGGAACACCGAUGGCGAAGGCAAUCCCCUGGACCUGUACUGACGCUCAUGCACGAAAGCGUGGGGAGCAAACAGGAUUAGAUACCCGUGUAGUCCCAUG
This 474-nucleotide ribosomal RNA is filed under the name uncultured organism. Its description in RNAcentral is "partial 16S ribosomal RNA". It matches the Rfam family "Bacterial small subunit ribosomal RNA", at positions 334 to 799 of the family's 1533-position model. The record is from RNAcentral.